AUUGAACGCUAGCGGGAUGCCUUACACAUGCAAGUCGAACGGAGUGGCGAACGGGUGAGUAAUGUAUCGGAACGCGCCCAGUCGCGGGGGAUAACUACGCGAAAGCGUAGCUAAUACCGCAUACUAUCGGACCGGCCGCUAUCGGAUUAGCUAGUUGGUGGGGUAACGGCUCACCAAGGCGACGAACCGUACCUGGUUUGAGAGGACGACCAGCCGCACUGGGACUGAGACACGGCCCAGACUCCUACGGGAGGCAGCAGUGGGGAAUGUUGGACAAUGGGGGAAACCCUGGUACAGCCAUCCCGCGUGUAGGAUGAAGGCCUUCGGGUUGUAAAGGACUUUUGGCAGGAAAGCGGUACCUGCAGAAUAAGCACCGGCUAACUACGUGCCAGCAGCCGCGGUAAUAC
RNAcentral lists this ribosomal RNA (407 nucleotides) under uncultured bacterium. RNAcentral's name for it is "partial 16S ribosomal RNA". It matches the Rfam family "Bacterial small subunit ribosomal RNA", at positions 30 to 526 of the family's 1533-position model. The record is from RNAcentral.